This 73-nucleotide transfer RNA is filed under the name Stegodyphus mimosarum. It matches the Rfam family "tRNA". From Rfam's summary of the family: Transfer RNA (tRNA) molecules are approximately 80 nucleotides in length. Their secondary structure includes four short double-helical elements and three loops (D, anti-codon, and T loops). The record is from Rfam by way of RNAcentral. Lineage: Eukaryota; Metazoa; Arthropoda; Arachnida; Araneae; Eresidae.
GUCUUCGUAGUGUAGUGGUCAGUACGCUCGACACGUAUUAGAAAGGUCUGUGGUUCGAGUCCCGGCGAGGACA